RNAcentral lists this ribosomal RNA (253 nucleotides) under uncultured bacterium. RNAcentral describes it as "partial 16S ribosomal RNA". It matches the Rfam family "Bacterial small subunit ribosomal RNA", at positions 524 to 776 of the family's 1533-position model. The record is from RNAcentral.
GACGAACCGUACGAACGUUAUUCGGAAUCACUGGGCUUAAAGGGUGCGUAGGCGGCGCAGAAAGUUGGGUGUGAAAUCCCUCGGCUUAACCGAGGAAUUGCGCCCAAAACUACUGUGCUCGAGGGAGGUAGAGGUGAGCGGAACUUAGGGUGGAGCGGUGAAAUGCGUUGAUAUCCUAAGGAACACCGGUGGCGAAAGCGGCUCACUGGACCUCUUCUGACGCUGAGGAGCGAAAGCCAGGGGAGCAAACGGG